Molecule: non-coding RNA, 109 nt
Filed under: Palpitomonas bilix
Lineage: Eukaryota
Source: RNAcentral
AUAGGACCCCGCCGAAAUACACGCAUAAGGAAGGAAGGAAACACAUAGGAAAAGAGAAGAUAAGGACAGAAGGGAGCUUUGGUUCCAAAAUAUUAUAUAUCCUACUUUU